Molecule: ribosomal RNA, 292 nt
Filed under: uncultured bacterium
Lineage: Bacteria
Description: partial 16S ribosomal RNA
Rfam family: Bacterial small subunit ribosomal RNA
Source: RNAcentral
GUUCCAGCCGCCGCGGUAAUACGAAGGGGGCUAGCGUUGUUCGGAAUUACUGGGCGUAAAGCGCGCGCAGGCGGUCCUUCAAGUCAGAGGUGAAAGCCCAGAGCUCAACUCUGGAACGGCCUUUGAAACUAGAGGACUAGGGUACGGGAGAGGUGAGUGGAAUUCCGAGUGUAGAGGUGAAAUUCGUAGAUAUUCGGAAGAACACCAGUGGCGAAGGCGGCUCACUGGCCCGUUACCGACGCUCAGGCGCGACAGCGUGGGGAGCAAACAGGAUUAGAUACCCGCGUAGUCC